GAUACUGGAGGAUACUCCGGAGCCUGGGGAGGACUAAGUUUAGGCAAGCUCCCCUCGACUGAGUGCCAGGCCAGCUCAGCUGCUUCCUAGCAAUGCCAAGGAGUCCAAUCCCUGGGCAGAGCCAGAUCCAGCGGGGCUUCUAGGCUCCUUCCCGGCAAAGCUCAUGGGUGCAGGACCAUUAUCCUGGGAGGGAGGAAACCUGCCCAGUGUGCUGCGGCCCCCGUGAAGAACAAGUGCAGGAACCCAAGCGCCGUUCCCAAACACACUGCCCAUCCCUCAAUGACUUUUGCAAUCCCAAAGUAUCAAGCUAUUUCCAUCAGAAAGGGGAUUUUUUUUUUUUUUUUUUUUUUGCUAUCCUGUGAAAAGCUCAUGUGAAAAAAAGGAAGAGCCCUGGUAAAAGCAGGACCGUGUUCAGCCUGUGGCCUCCACCUUUUUUGGAGUCAGAAGAGACUGAAGGAAUCAUAGAAUGGUUCGGGUUGGAAGGGACCUUAAAGAUCACCUAGUUCCCACCCCUCUGCCAUGGGCAGGGACACCUCCCACUAGACCAGGCUGCUCAAAGCCCCAUCCAGCCUGGCCUUGAACACCUCCAGGGAUGGGGCAGCCACAGCUUCUCUGGGCAACCUGGGCCAGUGUCUCACCACCCUCACAGUAAAGAAUUUCUUCCUGAUAUCCAAUCUAAAUCUCCCCUCUUCCAGCUUAAAGCCACUACCCCUUGUCCUGUCACUAUGCUCCCUGAUCAAGAGUCCCUCCCCAUCUCUCCUGGAGCCCCUUUAGGUACUGGAAGGGGCUCUGAGGUCUUCCUGGAGCCUUCUCUUCUCCAGGUUGAACAACCCCAACUCUCUCAGCCUGUCCUCACAGCAGAGGGGCUCCAGCCCUCUGAGCAUCUUCGUGGCCCUGAAAGCUGAGCCCAGUUCGUAAUGAGGACAUGCUGCGUUCAGCCCACUCCUGGUCCUUGCAGCAAGAGCUGUAUGUCCACCUUCCCUCCUGCAGCAAGUGCCUUGACCCGCAGGGUGUAAAGCAGGUCCAGGGAGAGGGGGAAAGAUGAAGGGACAACAAAUUCCAGCAGGGGAAACCCCACCUUUCAGCAGUGUCUGUUUCACAGUGUAGAGAUUGAGGGAAACACUUAUGUGCAACUGACCAACUGACAAAGCUGAAGGGGUAGAAAUGUCAACCAAAUGCAAUGUAGAAGUUGGCCUUGCUUUGGGGGGAGUGCUCACUCAGGUGACUCGCAGGGCUUUCUUCCAACGUAGACUACUCUACAUCUCUAAAGCCAGGCUUGCUUCCCUUCCUGGCUCCAAAUCUCUUGGAUUUCUGACGCUUCCACCCCAGGUGCAGCAAAGAGACCCAUGCAAUGUUCUGAGGAAUUCAAGGAACUGCUGGCACAGCCAACCUUUGGAGCAAGAAACCUCUGCAAACGCUGGACCAAAGCAGAUGCUGAAAAGAAGCAAGGGGCCAAUUUCCAGUCUAUCUCUGCUUCAGCACUGCUCAAGCAACAGAAACAAAAAUUGCUGGAGGCCAGAAAGAAGCGACCUGAAGAGAUUCAGCGGAGGUAAUACACACUGACUUUCACGGGAAGGGUUCUGCUGUUGUGGCCCUAAGUAUAAAUGUGGAGGUGUUUUGCUGAUAAGGACAGUGUACAUUGAAUAGAUAAUUUCUAAGCAUGUCCUAAUUUGAGAGGAACACAAGGCCUUUGCAACCUCUGUUUGCAGCUCCCCGUUUUUACGCUAGCUUCACUUUCCCUUCUCUCCCUGCUCCAGGGUUUCCUCUCCAGGCUUUUUCUUUCCCAACAGGGCAGGGAGGACAGGAGCCAUCUCUCUGUUUAACUUAGCAAACCUCCCGUGCCAGCACAGAUGCGGUGCGUGACUCAGCGUGCCAGGGCUGGGUUCCGCACGCUUGUUGGCUGUGUCCUCGCAGCCCUCAAGGCAGCUGGUGGCAGCUGCCAACGAGCAGAGUACAGGAAAGGGCGCAUGUAGAAGCAUGCUUGAACUUUCCCCCGCUACUUCCCAGCCUCUAGCAACAAGCCCCUCCUGUUCCCAAACCUUCCUGUUCCUUCACUCUUGCCCCUCACCCAGCCAGGGUGGUGAGACUCACAGCUUCUUGAGAGGCCCCAGGGCAUGCACAGGUGCCAGCAAUGCGCAGGGCAGGUGGAGAAGAGCAAACGGCACCCAGGGACUGUCACCCUGAUGCUGCCCAUGCUGCGGUUGAGCUCCACCCCGAGCGCUGUGCAGACCUUGUAAGUGCUGGGGAGUGAGCUGGGCUCUUGGUGAUGUCUCCUCAUCGUCAAAGUCAUCACGGAAAAGCCAAACCCAACUGCUCAGCUGGACGCUGUCCUACGGCACUUAUCCCCACGUGUGGGUGCAGCCCCUGCUCCGGUAUCCUUUCUGGUCUGGGGCUGGGGUGGAAAGGGAGGAGGGGGGUGAGUGGAAAGCAACAGUGGUCUCCACAUCAGCUGUGUCGUGCCCUGGAUAGAGCGAGGCAUGGUCUUCUUCCAGAGCCUGAAGUGGGGCACAGAGGAUCCUGGAGAUGUUUCUUGGAUGCUUGACGUAAGAAAGCAAAGAGUGCUGAACUUGGCACCCCCAGCCUCCUUUCUCACCAUCUGAAAAGUAUCAAUGGAGAAAAAGCCACAUCCACAGUUGCCUUGGCAGGAGCUUUGCUCUUACCCCUGUGAAUUCAUCUGCAGCCCUGGACUGAGCCGGGAGGAAAAGCAGCCUUUGAACGUGGUGUUUUGCCUCAAACUGCAAGCGCACGAGGCAGCUCACCUCUGCGUUAUUUGGGUUUGACGUCUUUCUUUUUCUUGGGUGGCUGGGGUGAGGAGGUUGUGUGGAGAACUCUGGAUUUCCUGGCUCCUUUACAGGUUUGCGUUGAAGGAGUUUCUCCUGAAGGGUGCAGGAACCAGAGGGAGAGAGAUGGAUUUUGAAAACUGAAAAUGGUUUGUUAGAACAAAGGAUUUUUAUUUUUAUUUUUUAAAUAUGACAAUGAUGUUCCCCAGCGUCCUGCAAACAACAAAUUGAGUUAGUUGAAUCUUGAACUUUUCUGUACCAGUGUCUCCACAAGCGUUUGCUUGCUUCUGCACGUACCCAGGUAUUGUAUUGACUGUGCAGUUGACUAAUAUACUAAUAUGCCUGUGAAUACGUUAUUCCCACCAGGGGGUGUGUGAAGGGAAAUGUUUAAAGACUCCGUGUCACCCCCAAAAUGGGCUGCUGGAGGUGGCAGCUCCUUCCCAGCCUGUGUGCCUCUUGUUUUCAGUUGUCCAAGCAACUCAAACUUGUCCUUUGAGUGUUGCAAGGUGGCAAGAGCAAAACCAGCGAGAGGAAGAGCUGCUGUAAAGCCUGGGAGGAAGGUGUUCAACAAGAGUCCAGCUCUCGGUGGACUUGUCUGCUGUCCCCUACUUCUGGGACAACCUAACAACCAACCAUCAACCUAACACUGACAAAACCCAUCACUAAACCAUGUCCCUCAGCACUACACCUACCCAUCUUUAAAAUACCUCCAGGGACGCUGACUCCACCACUUCCCUGGGCAGCCUGUUCCAAUGCUUGAUAACGCUUUCGGUGAAGAACUUUGUCCUAAUAUCCCUCCUAGACCUCCCCUGGUGCAACUUGGGGUGGUUUCCCCUUGUCCUGCCACCUGUUACUUGGGAGAAGAGAUCGACCCCCACCUCACUACCCCCUCCUUUCAGGGAGUUGUAGAGAGCGAGAAGCUCUCCCCUCAGCCGCCUCUUCUCCAGGCUGAACAACCCCAGCUCCCUCAGAUGCUUGUUCUGGCUGUUCUAAGAUUUGUUCUCUAGACCCCUCUCCUGGUGUUUAGCUGCUAAAUGCCAUCAAAGUCUUCUUAAUUAAGAACUGAUUACAAAACAAGUGGGUUGAUGCGACUCUCUGGGUGCAGAGUGAGAACCCUGACUGCCCACGCAGUCUGCUCUGACCCUGACUUCUCUCCUUGCCGCCCUGGUUGCUUGUGAGCUGAGCUCAAGGAGGUGAAGUAUUGCUUUAGGUCGCGUGGGUCCAUGAUCUGGGAUGCACGAGCUUUUUUUUCCACCAGCUGAUGGAAAACAGUAAUCGAUCUGGUAGUGAGUGGUGCCCAGUAAUUUUUUACAUCAGUAAUCAAUGUGGUGAUGAGUGAUGUCCAAUUUCCUCAGGCAGAGCAUAAGCUGUCACUUCGCCAGCUCAGAGUGCUACUACAUUGAGGUCAAGAACACGAGCCAAGUGCACUUGGAGAAAGAAGUGAUUGACUUUGGACAUGCCAAAUAUAAAGUGACUUCUGCCUCAGACCUUGCGGUAAUCUUAAAUCAUGACCUUACCUUGUAACUAGCAAGAAUUGUUGGCCUUUUAGCUGGUGUCUUCUUGCUGCCUGGUUGCCUCUGCUGGAGAAGUGCUCUUGCUCUCCAGGCAGCCCCUUCACGCCUCUGGGAAGCAGCGGAGGAGCUCUGCAAGCUCCUCCUCCAGCUCUGCUCAUCGCCAUUCCCAACUCUGAGCUGCCAAAAUUGAUUUAACCCACGCGCCUUGGUAUUUUUCAGUGCAAAUCAGCCCAGCUAGGGCAAAGUGAAGCCAGCAGCUGGUUAGGUGACCCUAACUGAAUACGCAGGACUAGGAGGGGACAGCUUAUUCAGUACCCAGCUGUGGUGUCUUCUCUGCAAACAUCAUCAAUCCAAGGAGCCUUUUGGCUUAUUUCAAGUGCGGCUGUGUGCAGUGGGAUUUGCAGCUUUUAGUUUCAUUUCGUGUUGUCUGCACUUUUCUACUGGAGACUUUGAAAAGACAAUGAAUAAGUCAGUGGGUAUUUUUACGAAUACGUGGCCAAGCAGAUACGCUCGCGCCAGGAAUAAGCAGGAAACACGGUACCCAAAGAUGGUGGCUUCUAAGUAGGUUUUAUUUGUUUGGUUGGUUUUGUUUUUUCGUUGUUGUGUUUCUCUCUUUUUUUAAUGCAGGGUGUUUGGAAGAAGUGAGCAAAGGUUGUGCGAGGAAAAAGAAUUUAUCUUUAAAGUGGCCUCUAAAGACCAGGAGGGAAAACGUGUGCCUGAGCAUCAGCUUCUGAGUAGCCAGAUUCACGGGCUUUUGGCCCUCUCUGCUGGAAGCUUACCCAAAUCCUGCAUUAUAACAUCAUUUUAGGCUGAUACAAAAUCGUUGCGCUGAGGUUGAACAGCUGGUGCACUUCAAAGCAAACCUGACCUAUAAAACCAGAUCUGCUGCAGUUAGUUUAGGUAAUCAAAGACAGGUGAUGAUGGGAGAUGUGCUUCACUUCUUGAUUAGCUUCUUCUAACCUCUCUCUUGAUAUACGUCUGGGUGAUGCUCUAUUAAUGUAAGGGUAUUGAUAAUCUUAAUAGAAUUAGAAUAAUUGUUAUGGUUAGAUGACAUUAGUAUUAUUAAUAUAAGAUUCUAUGCAUUAUUAUGUUUUAAAGGUUUCCGACAUCCUUUUUUUCACGCAAGGUUCAGUAUGCGCUCACAUGGGAAGGCAUUAGCACAGCUGAUGAAGGUGUGGAGUGGCUUUUAUUUUUUUUUUUCCAAAAUAAAGAUUAAA
This is a long non-coding RNA of Chroicocephalus ridibundus (black-headed gull), 5511 nucleotides long. RefSeq lists it as uncharacterized. The record is from RefSeq and is a predicted model, not a curated record. The transcript has 3 exons. Lineage: Eukaryota; Metazoa; Chordata; Aves; Charadriiformes; Laridae.